Molecule: long non-coding RNA, 1608 nt
Organism: Amphiprion ocellaris (clown anemonefish)
Lineage: Eukaryota; Metazoa; Chordata; Actinopteri; Pomacentridae
Source: Ensembl
CUGACAGAAACUGGUUGUGAAAAAUUUAUUAAAUCUUUUACAGUUAGAAGCAGCAGUAGAACUUCUGGAACAUGGAGCCCUGCAACACAAACAGUCAGCUGGUAGCAGAUCCAAAGAACAAAUCCUGAGAGCUCAGAGACCCACCUCCAACAUGUUCAGUAUGCUUUGACUGGAACUUGGUCGCCCUUUGGAGGCAGGUAGCCUUUCGGAGGCAGGUAGCCCUUCGGAGGAAGGUAGCCCUGUGGAGGCAGGUAGCCUGGGUAGCUGAACACUGGACUGUACAGAGAGUCAGUGGGGACGUAGCGGGUCUGAGAGAAAUGGGCUCUUCCUCUCCUGUAGCGGGACCGAGAGUGGAAGUUGUAGACUGGAUCCAGACCGGACACAUCAGUGAAGAAGGGCCCAUCAGGGGUCUGGUCAGAGAUCUGGUCAGUGCUCUGGUAGCUGAACACUGGACUGUACAGAGAGUCUGUGGGGACGUAGCGGGUCUGAGAGAAAUGGGCUCUUCCUCUCCUGUAGCGGGACCGAGAGUGGAAGUUGUAGACUGGAUCCAGAUCGGACACAUCAGUGAAGAAGGGCCCAUCAGGGGUCUGGUCAGUGCUCUGGUAGCUGUAGACGCCUGGAUAACCGCCAUAGACGCCUGGAUAACCGCCAUAGACGCCUGGAUAGCCGCCAUAGACAUAUUUGACCUGCUGGUCGGGUUUGGUGGUUGUAGAGGGAACGGUCGGGUCAGGACUUGUUGCUCAAGUAUGUCUAUGGCGGCUAUCCAGGCGUCUAUGGCGGUUAUCCAGGCGUCUACAGCUACCAGAGCACUGACCAGACCUCUGACCAGACCCCUGAUGGGCCCUUCUUCACUGAUGUGUCCGAUCUGGAUCCAGUCUACAACUUCCACUCUCGGUCCCGCUACAGGAGAGGAAGAGCCCAUUUCUCUCAGACCCGCUACGUCCCCACUGACUCUCUGUACAGUCCAGUGUUCAGCUACCCAGGCUACCUGCCUCCACAGGGCUACCUUCCUCCAAAGGGUGACCAAGUUCAAGUCAAAGCCUACUGAACAUGUUGGAGGUGGGGCUCUGAGCUCAUGAAUUGUUCUAUGGAUUUGCUGCCACCUGACUGUUGCAGGUCUCCAUGUUCUAGAAGUUCUACUGCUGCUUCUAACUGUACAAGAUUUAAUAAAUGAUUUUCAGAACUAGCCUUUGUCUCAGUCUUCAUCACUUGAUCCUGAACAUGUCUGACAGCUGUGCUAAAUGAAGGCUUCUUACAGGCAGCAUUGCAUGACUAUUAGCUUUAGUCUUCAAGCAUUUAAAAGCUGCAUCUUGUCUCUGAAGGUCCCGGUAGUGAUUUAGGGAGAAGAACUGGAUCUAAACAUCUCUGUUGGGCCUGCUUCACAUUACAGCCUGCGUGUUUGAGAUUAUUUCUGCUGCUUUUUUUUUUUUUUUUUUUUUUAAAAACCUGAGGUCAAAGUUUUUCCCCAGCUUGUAUGCUUUGAAACCUGUUUGCUUAUGUAAUGUACUUCGAACAUGCCAUCAGCACUUGGUAAGGUGAAGGCCAUUCCAAAUUUGACUGGAAAGAACCCAAACUUCACUGACGCAGCCAUCUGCCUCAACUGUUAUG